RNAcentral lists this ribosomal RNA (466 nucleotides) under uncultured bacterium. Its description in RNAcentral is "bacterial SSU rRNA". It matches the Rfam family "Bacterial small subunit ribosomal RNA", at positions 328 to 792 of the family's 1533-position model. The record is from RNAcentral.
UUUCCAGACUCCUACGGGAGGCAGCAGUGAGGAAUAUUGGUCAAUGGCCGAGAGGCUGAACCAGCCAAGUCGCGUGAGGGAUGACGGCCCUACGGGUUGUAAACCUCUUUUGUCGGGGAGCAAAGAGAGUCACGUGUGACUCAUUGAGAGUACCCGAAGAAAAAGCAUCGGCUAACUCCGUGCCAGCAGCCGCGGUAAUACGGAGGAUGCGAGCGUUAUCCGGAUUUAUUGGGUUUAAAGGGUGCGUAGGCGGGACCUUAAGUCAGCGGUAAAAUUGCGGUGCUCAACGCCGUAGAGCCGUUGAAACUGGGGUUCUUGAGUGAGCGAGAAGUAUGCGGAAUGCGUGGUGUAGCGGUGAAAUGCAUAGAUAUCACGCAGAACCCCGAUUGCGAAGGCAGCAUACCGGCGCUCAACUGACGCUGAGGCACGAAAGUGCGGGUAUCGAACAGGAUUAGAUACCCGUGUA